CCUACGGGAGGCAGCAGUGAGGAAUAUUGGACAAUGGGCGCAAGCCUGAUCCAGCCAUGCCGCGUGCAGGAUGACGGUCCUAUGGAUUGUAAACUGCUUUUAUACGAGAAGAAACGCCCCUACGUGUAGGGACUUGACGGUAUCGUAAGAAUAAGGAUCGGCUAACUCCGUGCCAGCAGCCGCGGUAAUACGGAGGAUCCAAGCGUUAUCCGGAAUCAUUGGGUUUAAAGGGUCCGUAGGCGGUUUAGUAAGUCAGUGGUGAAAUCUCCCCGCUCAACGGGGAAACGGCCAUUGAUACUGCUAGACUUGAAUUAUUAGGAAGUAACUAGAAUAUGUAGUGUAGCGGUGAAAUGCUUAGAGAUUACAUGGAAUACCAAUUGCGAAGGCAGGUUACUACUAAUGGAUUGACGCUGAUGGACGAAAGCGUGGGUAGCGAACAGGAUUAGAUACCCUGGUAGUCCACGCCGUAAACGAUGGAUACUAGCUGUUGGAAGCAAUUUCAGUGGCUAAGCGAAAGUGAUAAGUAUCCACCUGGGGAGUACGUUCGCAAGAUGAAACUUAAAGGAAUUGAGG
Molecule: ribosomal RNA, 573 nt
Filed under: uncultured bacterium
Lineage: Bacteria
Description: bacterial SSU rRNA
Rfam family: Bacterial small subunit ribosomal RNA
Source: RNAcentral